This 444-nucleotide ribosomal RNA is filed under the name uncultured Leptolinea sp. RNAcentral describes it as "bacterial SSU rRNA". It matches the Rfam family "Bacterial small subunit ribosomal RNA", at positions 923 to 1382 of the family's 1533-position model. The record is from RNAcentral. Lineage: Bacteria; Bacillati; Chloroflexota; Anaerolineae; Anaerolineales; Anaerolineaceae.
GCACAAGCAGCGGAGCGUGUGGUUAAUUCGAGGCUACACGAAGAACCUUACAGGGUUUGACAUGCAAGUGGUAGGAAUCCGAAAGGUGACCGACCCUUCGGGGAGCUUGCACAGGUGCUGCAUGGCUGUCGUCAGCUCGUGUCGUGAGAUGUUCGGUUAAGUCCGCUAACGAGCGCAACCCUCGUCGUGUGUUAUACGUGUCACACGAUACUGCCGGUAUCAAGCCGGAGGAAGGUGGGGAUGAUGUCAAGUCAGCAUGGCCUUUAUAUCCUGGGCUACACACACGCUACAAUGGCAGAUACAAUAGGUUGCGAAACCGCGAGGUGGAGCCAAUCCUCAAAGUCUGUCUCAGUUCAGAUUGUAGGCUGCAACUCGCCUGCAUGAAGUUGGAGUUGCUAGUAAACGCAGGUCAGCUAUACUGCGUUGAAUACGUUCCCGGGGUUU